AUGUUUUGACAUAAUUUGUUGUAUGGUGCUGCUGCUAUUUAAAGGUGGACAUUUUAUUAUAAUUUCAAUAUUAUAUAAUAUAUAGGUCAAACAAGGCUGUACCUUAUUUCAAUAAUAUAUUUAUCUGACCAUUACAUAAUAUAACAAUUUUUUAACUGCUGAUAUUAUAUCUAUAAAUCAUGUGCCAAUUAAACCUAUUCAAUAUCAUUUCAAAUGCUGCUUCAUAUAUAACAUUUUACAUAUUUAAAAAAAUAGAUUGUAUUCCAGUAUAUUACCUCAAUUUCAAAACAUUGAAAUCCGAUAUUCAUAAAUCACAAGUUUCAGAUCAAAAGAUAUCAGAUGUUCUGCUUAUUCGUUUGACGCAAUAGCUCGGUAUUUGUAAAGGUGCAAUAUUUGAUUUACAUCAGUCAUCUGAAUAUAGAUAUAGAAAAAAUUCCCUAUUUGUUCAAAGUUUUCAGCUUUAAAUUUUGAUUUUUCAAAUUUUGUCAAUGUGUUCAUACUAUAUCUUGCCAUAACUUAAAGACCAGUGAAUCAUUUUCAUUCACAGCGUAGAAUGCCGUAGAUAUAUGUUUUAGCAAUAUGUACCAAAAGACAUACAAUCCAAGAACUCAAUAUAUUUUUCUGGAUGAAAAUUCACGUUUUUCUCAAAACAAACUAGGGUUAAAAAUUCUGUACUUUUGAUUUUCAUUAGGUCAUAAAAGUUGGUUAACUUUGAUAGCAUAAAAAUUUUGCAAUUUCAAACACAAAUUUUCAUAACUUAAAUAUUUUGAUUGUCAUUUUGUACCCUGCAAUAUCAUUUAGUUUUGAAAUGAUUUGUCCUGGAAUAUUCCCAAUUUACAGCUAGUUAUAUAUAGUAUAAUAACACUAUUUAUGCAAUACAAAACUUUUUUUUCUGAUUAUAUAUUUCUGUUGAACUACCAGUCACAUGUUUUGACUUAUUGUAAGAAUGUGGUAUAAAUGUGUAUGCAUGCUAUAGGAUAUAGUAUUCUUAAAGUACUAUAAAAUUGAUCUGUGUUCUUGUGUUCUCUGUGAAAUGUUUACUGCUAUUUUAUUUCUUUUGUGUAUCAUUAUUUUCUUUACUUUAUUUAAAAAUAAUUAAUUAUUUCCUCCCUUUUCUAAUUACAAUUCUAUGGAAGUUAGGUGGUUCUCUCCAGGCAAUUCUGCUUGCUCCACCAAUAAAACUGUCUGCAAUGAAAUACCGCAUUGUGGUGUUAAACACCAAUCAAUCUGUUUACAAUUUACUACAUACACAUUGUAUUUAAAUAUGUACAAGUAUUUUGUAUAAUUUAACAGUUUUAAUGACAAUGUUUUUGCACUUGUACUGUUUUUUUAGCUAAGCUUUAGAUGUAAAGAAAAAACACUGUUAUGUUAAAAGUUUACAUUAGAAAUACAAAUUAAUGAAUGGAACAGUUUCUCCCUAAUUGGUUUUGUUUUUUCCAUAUUUUCAUGUGAGUCGCUCUUAGAUAUCUUACCAUGUCUUACAUGGAUAUCUGUAUAUAUUGAUAUUAGGAAGUAAUAGAAGCAAUUUGGAAAAUCCCACAACAGUGUCAUUAGAUCAGUUCUAUUUUAACAUAUUACAUCAUUAUGGAAAAGAAAAUUACAUGUUAAAUUUGCUUUUUGAUAUAAUAUUUUAACAGAUUUUGAAUGACAUACGUAAGUAAUCAAAAUUAGACAAGAAGUGUUUAAAAUAUUGAAAUUCUUUUCCUUUUUUCAAAAUCGUGCUCAGCAGUUAAAAAGUUGCAGGAUUUUUCAAUUUGUUUUUGAUUGGUGAUUGUGCAAUGUGUUAUAAGGGCAAUAGAAACCAAACCACCUGAUCUGAUUUGUGUGUGUCUGUGGUAUGAUUUUGUUAUUUUGUACUAUUUAUACAGCAUUUAUUUUAUAUAAUUUAUAUAUUUACAUUUAUUGUGUUAUGAAAGUUUUCUUUUGUUAAUUUUGUAACAAUAAAUUUUGUAACCAUUG
Molecule: long non-coding RNA, 1959 nt
Filed under: Mytilus galloprovincialis (Mediterranean mussel)
Lineage: Eukaryota; Metazoa; Mollusca; Bivalvia; Mytilida; Mytilidae
Source: RNAcentral